GGAGAAUGCCUGCUUUUCCUUCCGUCCUGUGCAGAGUUUGUCACUGCUGACGAAGCUUCUAUUUUUUUAAAUCCUUCCCUUCUUCUAGAGUUACUACAGUUGAACUUCAGAGUCCCAAGACUAAAAAUGUCUUUCUUUUCUUUAUCUUAUAAUGUAAUAUUCUUUCUUCCCAAAGAAGAUGAGGAGGAACAAUCCCUUUGAAAGAUAUUCAUUGAAAGGACAUUGAAUAUUCAUUGGAAGGACAGAUGCUGAAGCUGAAGCUCCUAUACUUUGACCACCUAAUCGAAGAGUUGACUCAUUGGAAAAGACCCUGAUGCUGGGAAAGAUUGAAGGGAGGGGAAGAAGAGGAUGACAGAGGAUGAGAUGGUUGGAUGGCAUCACUGACUCAAUGGGCAUGAGUUUGAGCAAACUUAGGGAGAUGGCGAAGGACAGGGAAGCCUGGUAUGCUGCAGUCCAUGGGGUCGCAAAGAGUUGGCUGAGCUAUUGAACCACAAUAACAACAACAGAGUUGUUCAAGGAGAGAGUCCAUAUCACUGAAAACGUGAGGUUCUUGGGGAAUAUACGGGAAGACCCUGCCCAGGGCCUGGCGCUUGGUAAGCACAGUAAAGAUGCACAGCAUGAGCGUUGCGCUGGACCCAUGAUGCAGUCACUGGCCAUUCUCUGCAGGGUAUUCAAAGCCUCGCCUACUCCCUGGCCUUCUGUGGAGCAACUCAUGUGGCCCUUCUGGUAUACCCUUGGACUUGCUGACUCAAAGGGCUAAAUAGUUCAGGAUGUUCCCUGUUUUCAGAGCCUUGAAGGCCCUAAUGUAACCUCUUUAUUUGACACAGAAGAUCUCAAAGAGAUUUUGUGACUCAUGCCUCACUGCUUCUACUAGCUUCUUUUUUAAAAAAAAAUUUACAUUAAAAAUUUUUUUGAUCAUGCCACAGAGCAGGUGGGAUCUUAGUUCCUGGGCCAGGGAUUGAACUUGUGCCCUUAGCAGUGAAAAGUGCGGAGUCCUAAACCACUGGACUGCCAGCGAAUUCCCUUCUAACUAGUUUUUAAUUUCUGUUGUAACAAGUUACCACAAGCUUAGAGGUCUAAGACAACAAGAAUGUGUUAUCUCAUAGUCCAGUUGUUCAGGGUCCCACAUAGGCGUCUCUGGGCUGAGAUCAAGGUGUGGGCAGGCCUGUCCCUUCUGGCGGCUCUGGGGAGGACCGUUUCCCUGAUGCUCCAGCCCUAGGGGUGCCUUCACCUGGAACAGGUGGUCACCCCCCAGUGUCCAAGUGAACAGUUCAGCAUUUCCCUUACCUGUCCUGUCAUCACAUCUCACUCUCUUCCUUUGGCUUCUUUCCUGUUUGUAAGGACACUGUGAUUACAUCGCGCCCACCAAAAUCAUCCAGAAUCAACU
Molecule: long non-coding RNA, 1387 nt
Filed under: Bos indicus x Bos taurus (hybrid cattle)
Lineage: Eukaryota; Metazoa; Chordata; Mammalia; Artiodactyla; Bovidae
Description: lncRNA (ENSBIXG00000000326.1)
Source: RNAcentral